AGAGUUUGAUCAUGGCUCAGAACGAACGCUGGCGGCGUGCCUAACACAUGCAAGUCGAACGAGAAAGGGACUUCGGUCCUGAGUAGAGUGGCGCACGGGUGAGUAACACGUGGAUAACCUGCCCUGAAGUCUGGGAUAACAUUUCGAAAGGGAUGCUAAUACCGGAUAAGCCUACGACCUCUUCGGGGGAUGUAGGAAAAGAUUUAUUGCUUCAGGAUGGGUCCGCGGUCCAUUAGCUAGUUGGUAGGGUAAUGGCCUACCAAGGCUUCGAUGGAUAGCUGGUCUGAGAGGAUGAUCAGCCACACUGGAACUGAGACACGGUCCAGACUCCUACGGGAGGCAGCAGUGGGGAAUUUUGCGCAAUGGACGAAAGUCUGACGCAGCAACGCCGCGUGAAGGAUGAAGGCCCUUGGGUCGUAAACUUCUGUCAGUGGGGAAGAAAUGCCCGCAAGGGAGCUGACGGUACCCACAAAGGAAGCACCGGCUAACUCCGUGCCAGCAGCCGCGGUAAUACGUAGGGGCCAAACGUUGUCCGGAUUUAUUGGGCGUAAAGGGCUCGUAGGCGGUUCAACAAGUCGAUCGUGAAAUGCCGGGGCUCAACCCCGGAACGCCGGUCGAAACUGUUGUGACUAGGGUCCGGCAGAGGUAAGUGGAAUUCUCGGUGUACGGUGGAAUGCGCAGAUAUCGAGAGGAACACCAGUUGCGAAGGCGGCUCACUGGGCCGGUACCGACGCUAAGGAGCGAAAGCAUUGGGGAGCAAACAGGAUUAGAUACCCUGGUAGUCCAUGCCGUAAACUGUGAACACUAGGUGUGGCGGAUCUAUUGAUGUCUGCCGUACCGUAGCUAACGCGUUAAGUGUUCCGCCUGGGGAGUACGGCCGCAAGGCUAAAACUCAAAGGAAUUGACGG
RNAcentral lists this ribosomal RNA (908 nucleotides) under uncultured bacterium. RNAcentral describes it as "bacterial SSU rRNA". It matches the Rfam family "Bacterial small subunit ribosomal RNA", at positions 8 to 916 of the family's 1533-position model. The record is from RNAcentral.